UACGUAGGGUCCAAGCGUUAUCCGGAAUCACUGGGCGUAAAGCGUUCGUAGGCGGCGAUUUAAGUGAGAUGUGAAAGCGUGUGGCUCAACCAUAUCGUUGUGUCUCAUACUGGGUUUCUGGAGGAAGGCAGAGGCAAGUGGAAUUGGCAGUGUAGCAGUGAAAUGCGUAGAGAUUGCCAGGAACACCAAUGGCGAAGGCAGCUUGCUGGGCCUUUUCUGACGCUGAGGAACGAAAGCGUGGGGAGCGAACAGG
Molecule: ribosomal RNA, 253 nt
Filed under: uncultured bacterium
Lineage: Bacteria
Description: partial 16S ribosomal RNA
Rfam family: Bacterial small subunit ribosomal RNA
Source: RNAcentral